Molecule: unclassified non-coding RNA, 337 nt
Filed under: soil metagenome
Description: partial contains 5.8S ribosomal RNA, internal transcribed spacer 2, and large subunit ribosomal RNA
Rfam family: 5.8S ribosomal RNA (bases 1-120)
Source: RNAcentral
GAUGAAGAACGUAGCGAAAUGCGAUAAGUAGUGUGAAUUGCAGAAUUCAGUGAAUCAUCGAAUCUUUGAACGCACAUUGCGCCCCUUGGUAUUCCAUGGGGCAUGCCUGUUCGAGCGUCAUUUGUACCUUCAAGCUCUGCUUGGUGUUGGGUGUUUAUCUCGCCUCUGCGCGUAGACUCGCCUCAAAACAAUUGGCAGCCGGCGUAUUGAUUUCGGAGCGCAGUACAUCUCGCGCUUUGCACUCAUAACGACGACGUCCAAAAGUACAUUUUUACACUCUUGACCUCGGAUCAGGUAGGGAUACCCGCUGAACUUAAGCAUAUCAAUAAGCGGAGGA